UCUGGUGACAAUGGCAAGGAGGUCACACCUGUUCCCAUGCCGAACACAGAAGUUAAGCUCCUUAGCGCCGAUGGUAGUCGGAUUUAC
RNAcentral lists this ribosomal RNA (87 nucleotides) under Staphylococcus kloosii. Lineage: Bacteria; Bacillati; Bacillota; Bacilli; Caryophanales; Staphylococcaceae. The record is from RNAcentral.